GAUGAACGCUAGCGGCAGGCCUAAUACAUGCAAGUCGAACGGUGUAGCAAUACACAGUGGCGCACGGGUGCGUAACACGUAUGCAACCUACCUUACAUUGGGGGAUAGCCUUUCGAAAGGGAGAUUAAUACCGCAUAAGAUAGUAACUGGGCAUCCAGUAGCUGUAAAAGAUUUAUCGAUGUAAGCUGGGCAUGCGUCCAAUUAGUUAGUUGGCGAGGUAAUGGCUCACCAAGACGAUGAUUGGUAGGGGAACUGAGAGGUCAAUCCCCCACACUGGCACUGAGAUACGGGCCAGACUCCUACGGGAGGCAGCAGUAGGGAAUAUUGGGCAAUGGGCGCAAGCCUGACCCAGCCAUGCCGCGUGCAGGAAGAAGGCGUUAUGCGUUGUAAACUGCUUUUAUACAGGAAGAAACGACCCUUGCGAGGGGCAUUGACGGUACUGUAUGAAUAAGCACCGGCUAACCCCGUGCCAGCCGCCGCCGUAA
Molecule: ribosomal RNA, 485 nt
Filed under: uncultured bacterium
Lineage: Bacteria
Description: partial 16S ribosomal RNA
Rfam family: Bacterial small subunit ribosomal RNA
Source: RNAcentral